AGGGGUAUAGUUCAGUUGGUAGAACGCAGGUCUCCAAAACCUGAUGUCGAGGGUUCAAGUCCUUCUACCCCUG
Molecule: transfer RNA, 73 nt
Filed under: Clostridiales bacterium GWD2_32_19
Lineage: Bacteria; Bacillati; Bacillota; Clostridia; Eubacteriales
Also listed under: 1 other name
Description: tRNA-Trp
Rfam family: tRNA
About the family: Transfer RNA (tRNA) molecules are approximately 80 nucleotides in length. Their secondary structure includes four short double-helical elements and three loops (D, anti-codon, and T loops).
Source: RNAcentral